CAAAAAGAAAAAAAGAAAAAGGAAAUAACACAUUGACGAAGAAAAGAACAGAGAAGACACGAAAGAAUCAACAAAAAUUUGGCAGGGAGUCUUUUACGAAAACGUCAGAAUUUUGUAGAGAAAGAGAGAGAAACGAAUUUUGAAAAGAAUAAAAUAAAAAGGAACAAAAAUAAUCCUGAUAACUCCCCAAAUCCCAACUCCCC
This 203-nucleotide long non-coding RNA is filed under the name Gossypium raimondii (Peruvian cotton). Its description in RNAcentral is "long non-coding RNA (GRAI_LNC009202)". Lineage: Eukaryota; Viridiplantae; Streptophyta; Magnoliopsida; Malvales; Malvaceae. The record is from RNAcentral.